Molecule: transfer RNA, 89 nt
Filed under: Saccharospirillum salsuginis
Lineage: Bacteria; Pseudomonadati; Pseudomonadota; Gammaproteobacteria; Oceanospirillales; Saccharospirillaceae
Description: tRNA-Gln
Source: RNAcentral
CCAGGCGGUGGGCAGGCUGACCUGAACGCUGACUUCGGGGCCGGUGGCGGCUUCGUAGUCGAUGCCCUGUUCGGCCAGGGCGGCCUGGG